Molecule: transfer RNA, 85 nt
Filed under: Planctomycetota bacterium
Lineage: Bacteria; Pseudomonadati; Planctomycetota
Description: Planctomycetes bacterium tRNA-Ser
Rfam family: tRNA
About the family: Transfer RNA (tRNA) molecules are approximately 80 nucleotides in length. Their secondary structure includes four short double-helical elements and three loops (D, anti-codon, and T loops).
Source: RNAcentral
GGAGAGGUGACCGAGUGGCUUAAGGUGGCGGUCUUGAAAACCGCUGUGCCGAAAGGUACCGGGGGUUCGAAUCCCUCCCUCUCCG